Oncorhynchus mykiss (rainbow trout) is the source of this 500-nucleotide non-coding RNA. The record is from RefSeq and is a predicted model, not a curated record. NCBI's taxonomy places the organism in Eukaryota, Metazoa, Chordata, Actinopteri, Salmoniformes, Salmonidae.
CAUGCUCUAAUCUAAAUUGAGAGGCGACAUUCCUGCGUGCCUCUCUUUCCGCUCUUGAUUGUGCACAGGUGAAGUAAAUGAACAGGACUCCCUAAAGGACAGAAGCACACAGCCAGUGAGCAAGCCUCUCUCCCAGCAUCCUACGGUGCAGACACACAGCGCUCAGAUGGCAGCCUGCUCCUAUGAACUAAAGUGAAGAACGGACCUGAACCCCGUCCUAAACGGAGAAGGGAACCUGUGUAGAGAAAGCGAUUCAAUGGAGAGCUAGUAAGGAGAAGAGGCCUUACUAAAAGUGGAGGAACUGACACCACGUUGGACUCGACUACACAGGCUACAUUUGGAUGAAUAUUGACUGUUGGAAAAUAAGAAAUGUUGAUUGGUGGAUUUUACCCAAUCGGUUUUUGGGAUGGAAUUUCUAUUUUUUUAGGAGACUUUAUUUUUUUUUAAAUAAUAUUUUUGACACUUCCUAACUUUUUCCAAAUAAAGUAUUAUUAAUUAUG